RNAcentral lists this ribosomal RNA (377 nucleotides) under uncultured Bacteroidales bacterium. Its description in RNAcentral is "bacterial SSU rRNA". It matches the Rfam family "Bacterial small subunit ribosomal RNA", at positions 22 to 398 of the family's 1533-position model. Lineage: Bacteria; Pseudomonadati; Bacteroidota; Bacteroidia; Bacteroidales. The record is from RNAcentral.
GCUCAGGAUGAACGCUAGCUACAGGCUUAACACAUGCAAGUCGAGGGGUAGCAGGGUAGCAAUACCGCUGACGACCGGCGCACGGGUGAGUAACACGUAUCCAACCUUCCCAUAACUCGGGGAUAGCCUUUCGAAAGAAAGAUUAAUACCCGAUAGUACUUUUUUAGGGCAUCUUAGAAAAGUUAAAGAUUUAUUGGUUAUGGAUGGGGAUGCGUUCCAUUAGAUAGUUGGUGAGGUAACGGCUCACCAAGUCUUCGAUGGAUAGGGGUUCUGAGAGGAAGGUCCCCCACAUUGGUACUGAGACACGGACCAAACUCCUACGGGAGGCAGCAGUGAGGAAUAUUGGUCAAUGGGCGAGAGCCUGAACCAGCCAAGUA